RNAcentral lists this ribosomal RNA (590 nucleotides) under uncultured bacterium. RNAcentral's name for it is "bacterial SSU rRNA". It matches the Rfam family "Bacterial small subunit ribosomal RNA", at positions 912 to 1503 of the family's 1533-position model. The record is from RNAcentral.
GACGGGGACCCGCACAAGCAGCGGAGCAUGUGGUUUAAUUCGAAGCAACGCGAAGAACCUUACCAGGUCUUGACAUCCAUCUAAAGCGUUAGAGAUAACGUGUGAGCUUGCUCGAGAUGAGACAGGUGGUGCAUGGUUGUCGUCAGCUCGUGUCGUGAGAUGUUGGGUUAAGUCCCGCAACGAGCGCAACCCUUAUCGUCCGUUACUAACAGGCAAAGCUGAGGACUCAGACGAGACUGCCGGGGACAACUCGGAGGAAGGUGGGGACGACGUCAAAUCAUCAUGCCCCUUACGACCUGGGCUACACACGUGCUACAAUGGGUACAACAAAGAGAAGCAAAACCGCAAGGCGGAGCAAAACUCAAAAAGUACUCUCAGUUCGGAUUGUGGGCUGCAACCCGCCCACAUGAAGUUGGAGUUGCUAGUAAUCGCGGAUCAGCAUGCCGCGGUGAAUACGUUCCCGGGUCUUGUACACACCGCCCGUCACACCAUGGGAGUUGGGAGCGCCCGAAGCCAGUGAGCUAACCGCAAGGAGGCAGCUGUCGAAGGUGAGACCAAUGACUGGGGUGAAGUCGUAACAAGGUAGCCGU